Molecule: long non-coding RNA, 792 nt
Organism: Homo sapiens (human)
Lineage: Eukaryota; Metazoa; Chordata; Mammalia; Primates; Hominidae
Exons: 2
Source: RefSeq, a predicted model, not a curated record
GCAAACUGUAGGUAGAAUCAAUUAAUUUUUAAGAGAGCAUACUGGGAAAGCAAUGUGUAUGAAUAUUAAAACUGCUUUAGAGAAUACUCAUGCAAAAAUGAUCAUGAAACCAUUUACAAAACAUCUCCAUUUAUCUGCAACUUUAUCUAUGUAUAUUUCAAUCUAGAAUCAGAAAUCCUGAAAGAAAUGAAAGACUAUGGGCACUCACAGUCACAAACUUGAUAACUGAUAAAACUAGUUAAAAACUACAAAUAUUGAAACAGCAAAUUAGAAGAUGGAAACAGAAGUGAUAGCAGAAAGAAAGAAAAAGAGGUGCUAUACUGUGUGCUGGAUAUUCGAGGAUGAAUAAAAUAUUCUCCGUCUUCAGAGGACUUCUCAGGCAAGAAAUCAAAAAUAGUUACAUAGCAUGAUCUCAUCACUUAUCAAUAUUUAUGAAGAUAUUCAGCAUUUACUUCUUUAAUGGGGAAAUAGCCUGUUUUGCUCACCUCUGUAUGCACAGCCCCAAGGGCAGUGUUAGUUAAAUCUGUCACUAAAUAUUUGUGCAAAGGAGGCAAGAAGAGGGAAAGGGUUAGAGGAAAGAGGAACCCAUAAAUGAGACCGCAAAGGUACUGGCACAAAGAAAAAGACAACCAGGGAAACCAGUAGAAACUGAUAUCAAGAAAGCCAAGGAAGUAAGAUGAAUUUAAGAAAGAGUGUUCAAAGUAUCAAAUACUAUAUAAGGAAAAACAAAAAAUGUUAUGUGUAUAUUAUAUAUACCCUAUUAAAUACUAUUAAAUUCCUUUUCAUACUUAA